Molecule: ribosomal RNA, 510 nt
Filed under: uncultured bacterium
Lineage: Bacteria
Description: partial 16S ribosomal RNA
Rfam family: Bacterial small subunit ribosomal RNA
Source: RNAcentral
GACGAACGCUGGCGGCGUGCUUAACACAUGCAAGUCGAACGAAGAGCGAUGGAAGCUUGCUUCUAUCAAUCUUAGUGGCGAACGGGUGAGUAACGCGUAAUCAACCUGCCCUUCAGAGGGGGACAACAGUUGGAAACGACUGCUAAUACCGCAUACGAUCUAAUCUCGGCAUCGAGGAUAGAUGAAAGGUGGCCUCUACAUGUAAGCUAUCGCUGAAGGAGGGGAUUGCGUCUGAUUAGCUAGUUGGAGGGGUAACGGCCCACCAAGGCGAUGAUCAGUAGCCGGUCUGAGAGGAUGAACGGCCACAUUGGGACUGAGACACGGCCCAGACUCCUACGGGAGGCAGCAGUGGGGAAUCUUCCGCAAUGGACGAAAGUCUGACGGAGCAACGCCGCGUGAGUGAUGACGGCCUUCGGGUUGUAAAGCUCUGUUAAUCGGGACGAAAGGCCUUCUUGCGAAUAGGGAGAAGGAUUGACGGUACCGGAAUAGAAAGCCACGGCUAACUACGUG